Molecule: ribosomal RNA, 431 nt
Filed under: uncultured bacterium
Lineage: Bacteria
Description: bacterial SSU rRNA
Rfam family: Bacterial small subunit ribosomal RNA
Source: RNAcentral
AUGAACGCUACUAGUAUGCUUUACACAUGCGAGUCGAACGAAAAAUUUAUUUUUAAGUGGCGGACGGGUGAGGAAAGUGUAAAAUACUACCUUUUAGUUCAUGAUUAAAUAAAAAUAAUGAAUAAUUUCAAAAGGAAAAUUUAUUUCCGCUAAAAGAUGUCUUUGCAUAAGAUUAGGUUGUUGGUAGUUAUAAUAGCCUCACCAAGCCUACGAUCUUUAGUUGGUUUUAGAGAACGGCCAACCACACUGGAACUGAAACAAAGUCCAGGCCCAUAAGUGGCCAGCAGUGGGGAAUAUUGGACAAUGAACGAAAGUUUGAUCCAGCGAUACUAGAUGAAUGAAUGACGGUUAAUUGUGAUUGUAAAGUUCUUAUUAAAAAGAUAAUGACUUGUUAAUGAAUAAGUCCUGGCUAAUACUCGUGCCAGCCGCCG